RNAcentral lists this signal recognition particle RNA (99 nucleotides) under Desulfobulbus propionicus. Its description in RNAcentral is "signal recognition particle sRNA small type". It matches the Rfam family "Bacterial small signal recognition particle RNA". Rfam says of the family: The signal recognition particle (SRP) is a universally conserved ribonucleoprotein involved in the co-translational targeting of proteins to membranes. The record is from RNAcentral. Lineage: Bacteria; Pseudomonadati; Thermodesulfobacteriota; Desulfobulbia; Desulfobulbales; Desulfobulbaceae.
AGCCGGGUCCUGUGCAACAAAGACUCACAAACCCCGUCAGGUCCGGGAGGAAGCAGCGGUAGUGAAUCUCUUUGUGUGCCAUAGGGGUGCCUGGCUAUC